ACAUACGGCCAUACCCACUGGAGAACUCGGGAUCCCGUCCGCUCUCCCAUAGAUAAGCCAGUGAGGGCCGGAUUAGUAGUUGGGUCGGUGACGACCAGCGAAUACCUGGUGUUGUAUGUU
Ribosomal RNA from Colletotrichum incanum, 120 nucleotides. Lineage: Eukaryota; Fungi; Ascomycota; Sordariomycetes; Glomerellales; Glomerellaceae. The record is from Rfam.